Molecule: ribosomal RNA, 442 nt
Filed under: uncultured bacterium
Lineage: Bacteria
Description: partial 16S ribosomal RNA
Rfam family: Bacterial small subunit ribosomal RNA
Source: RNAcentral
CCUACGGGAGGCAGCAGUGGGGAAUAUUGGGCAAUGGACGCAAGUCUGACCCAGCAACGCCGCGUGAAGGAAGAAGGCUUUCGGGUUGUAAACUUCCUUUUAGGGGGAAGAGCAGAAGACGGUACCCCUUGAAUAAGCCACGACUAACUCCGUGACAGCCGCCCGGGUCAUACGUAGGUGGCAAGCUUUGUCCGGAUUUGCUGGGGGUAAAGGGCGUGCAGCCGGGGAGACAAGUCAAAUGUGAAAUCCACGGGCUCAACCCGUGAACUGCAUUUGAAACUGUUUCCCUUGAGGGUCGGAGAGGUAAUCGGAAUGCCUGGUGUAGCGGUGAAAUGCGUAGAUAUAAGGAAGAACACCAGUGGCGAAGGCAGAUUACUGGACGAUAACUGACGGUGAGGCGCGAAAGCGUGGGGAGCAAACAGGAUUAGAUACCCUUGUAGUC